RNAcentral lists this long non-coding RNA (219 nucleotides) under Hordeum vulgare. RNAcentral's name for it is "long non-coding RNA (HVUL_LNC015294)". The record is from RNAcentral. Lineage: Eukaryota; Viridiplantae; Streptophyta; Magnoliopsida; Poales; Poaceae.
AGAGAGUGUAAAGUCCUUGUAUUUGCCGGCUUGUAACAAGAUCAUCCUCAUGUUUAAAAAAUGCUUCAAUACACUCCUUAGACUUGCAAACACGAGAUAGAGAUGAUCAUGUGUACAUUUAAAGAUAGGUUCCAUGUUUCUCCAUUGUCACAUGAGAUGCGGUUUGGUGCAGCCAAACCGAUCUCGCGCACUCGAGUUGAGCUGAGUCGAGACCAACCG